AACUAAUACAAGUCUCUCUGUGUAUUCAUUUGGGCCUAACUCGGGCAGGCGGCUGUCGUAAAGCUCACACAUGGCAGUGGGGCUCAGGCGGCUUUUGGCAGAAAGAUUUAUAGUAACAACACAGUGUUCCUUGAGCAGCAAGUUGCUCCUUAAUCUGCUUGAUCCUUCAUGUAAGACAUGCUGGGCAGUUUCAGUGCGUUCCACUUAGACACAGACUAAGAAAUGGAAAUUAUUGGUCUGUGAUAGACUCUAAGAGUAAGGAAAUCCCAGUCUGUCACACACUGGUUCUCACUCCUUUUCAAUGUAACUAACUAUGGACACCUCCCUGCUACACCACCACCCCUAGGACUGGGUUAAGGACAAGUUUUCCCUCCCUCCACUGUUUGUUCACUCUCUGUCUUGCAAGUGCUUUUUGGUCACAAUGAGUCCCAGCAAGGCUUCAGAGCCUCUGGCAGGUCCUCUUCAGUGCUGCCAAACUGUCCACUGGGAUGGGUGUGUGAGGGGGAGCCGAUGGUCUCAGGGCCCUCAAUUAGACCGUGAAACUUCAUUUCACAUGAAAAGGAAAAAGAAAUCUAGUUGAUUCCUCAAGGUAAGAAGCUAACCAACAGUUAGACCUAAUCCUGUUUCCUUCCCCUAACUUACUUUACCCUGUCUCUGCAGGGACAGAGCCAAUCUUCCUGAGAAAGUAUCCUCCAUCUGCUUACAGGCUCUGGAGCCAUCUAGACUCCAGUUUAUAAGAGAGCUCUGCAAAGAGGGCCCUGCUUUUCUGGGCCAUCAAUAGGCCUUCAGCUCUGGGAGUCCUGCUCACUGUCUCCCUUCAAGUCUUCUCUCCACUGUACAACAUCUGUUUUCCAGGCAGCGUGCACUGUGUCCAGAGACAGCCAAAGGUCAUCAGACUCCUAAGAUCAGGAUGGAAGAAGAGCAGCAGCCUGAGAGUUCAGUAUCACCCCAAAAGAAAGCAAAGCUAGCUGAAAUCAAGAGAAAGAAACGUGUCAGAUCACUCUUACCCCAUCAAAGGGACAGGAAAAGUAAACUGUCUUCCUCUCAAGGUGCAGAUCAGGAGACUUUCAAAUGUGAAUGUCACUGCUGCCUGAAGUAUGCAGGAAACACGUCCGGAAUGUCUGCGGGGGCCAGAAUAGAAACAACCUCUCAUUCACCCUCCUUAGAAAAGCUGACACUAGAUCUCAGUAACUUGACACUCAACCCGUGUGCACCCCAGCCCAAUCUUAUGCAAGAAACAACACAGAAAUUAGAAAAUGACAACAUGCAUAGCGAACAGAACGGCAAAAGAAUGCUUAAAAGGCUGCUCCACUAAUGGACAGAAUAACUCUGGCCUUGCCACUCUCCUUAGAAGACCAUCAGAGCCAACAGGAUCCUGAAUGUCAACAUCACCAACCGAUCCCUGGGGUGAAAUCUUUUGGGGGCAUGGUCAUGAGGAGUAAAUAUGUCCAGUCUUGUAACAAUAACACCAUCACAUGGAGAGACUCACACCUAUUCUGGAAAUGUUGCAUUCUUUUCCUUAGUAGUUUUGGCAUCCUUCCUGGUACAUUUUGGGUUAGACACUCCCAGGCAAGGGCAAUCACAUAGUGGGGUUUCUAUACCCCCCAUAUGCUAUUCUUAUGGGUGAGAAACCAUUAUAUUCUCCUCAGGUUUUGGCUUUUCUUUCCUUCCUUAUUUGUUGCUUUCAAAAGGGCCUCUGUUCCAUUUUAUUGACUGGAGGGCAGAAGGAACACCAGGUCUGGUGGAAUUCUGUGUGUGAGUGUGUUUCUCUCUCUCUCUCUCUCUCUCUCUCUCUCUCUCUCUCUCUCUCUCUCUCUCUGUGUGUGUGUGUGUGUGUGUGUGUGUGUGAAAUUUUUGUUUCAAAGCUUUUGGCUGAUGUUUUGUUUUUGUUAUGACAAAUCAAGCUUGCCCAGAGAUCAGAAGGCAGAGCUCCCUACUACUUAACCACAGAAGCUACAUUGUGGUGGUUCAAGCCUUUAAUCCCAUCACUAGAGAGGUGGAGAAAGGAAGUGAUAAGGUGGGGUGAAGACAUGUUCACAGCUCUUUUGGUCAGAGGAUACUGAGAGGUAAGAAGUCACUGGUGGCUGCUCCUCAGGAUCUCUGAUGUUCCGUGUUCUUACCCCAUUGUUUGACUUCUGAUUUUUUGUUGAUUAAGGUUCAUUAUAGUUAUGCUUCACCGAACUAUUAUAGAUACAGAAGAAUGCGAAUAUAUUGAGCAUUCUUCUUAUAAUUUGUCCCCAUUAUAUUUUGCUGUACUCUUUACACAACCAUAUAACCCUUCAAGAGCAGGACACUAACACUGGCACAAUCAGUGUGUGCAACUCUCUUUCACUGUGUCAUAUGUGUAAAUGCAUGCAAUUACCACCACAAUCAAGUUUCUUCUCUGUUUCAUCAAAUGGAGACAAUAAAAUACAUCCUUAUAGGAAUGAAAUAUUA
Cricetulus griseus (Chinese hamster) is the source of this 2436-nucleotide non-coding RNA. Lineage: Eukaryota; Metazoa; Chordata; Mammalia; Rodentia; Cricetidae. The record is from RefSeq and is a predicted model, not a curated record.